UGGGGAAUUUUGGACAAUGGGCGAAAGCCUGAUCCAGCAAUGCCGCGUGUGUGAAGAAGGCCUUCGGGUUGUAAAGCACUUUUGUCCGGAAAGAAAUCCUUGGCUCUAAUACAGUCGGGGGAUGACGGUACCGGAAGAAUAAGCACCGGCUAACUACGUGCCAGCAGCCGCGGUAAUACGUAGGGUGCAAGCGUUAAUCGGAAUUACUGGGCGUAAAGCGUGCGCAGGCGGUUUGCUAAGACCGAUGUGAAAUCCCCGGGCUCAACCUGGGAACUGCAUUGGUGACUGGCAGGCUAGAGUAUGGCAGAGGGGGGUAGAAUUCCACGUGUAGCAGUGAAAUGCGUAGAGAUGUGGAGGAAUACCGAUGGCGAAGGCAGCCCCCUGGGCCAAUACUGACGCUCAUGCACGAAAAGCGUGGGGAGCAAACAGGAUUAGAUACCCUGGUAGUCCACGCCCUAAAACGAUGUCAACUAGUUGUUGGGGAUUCAUUUCCUUAGUAACGUAGCUAACGCGUGAAGUUGACCGCCUGGGGAGUACGGUCGCAAAGAUUAAAACUCAAAUGAAUUGACGGGGUCAUAGCUG
Molecule: ribosomal RNA, 582 nt
Filed under: uncultured bacterium
Lineage: Bacteria
Description: partial 16S ribosomal RNA
Rfam family: Bacterial small subunit ribosomal RNA
Source: RNAcentral